CAGGGUCUAGCAUGUAAAACAUCAUAUGUAAUUACUAACCAUUCUAGCUAUACAGGGACCGGAAAAAUUGUACAUCAUAUCGUAAAACUUCCAUGACAGACAGGCCCCAUCAGUAUUAGCAAAUUCAUCAGGUAAUUUUAAUUUACUUCAGAUCUACAAACUAGCAAAUUCAUGAUGCAUGAGUUUUCAUGAAAUUUUAUACACAAAACCACCUUAGUGAAUCAGUCAAUGUGAUCAAACCAAUGAUUGAACCUGGAGCACCAUCUACAGGCAUCCAACAUUGUUCUCAGGAGAAACUCAAUUCAUCAAUAGAUAUGGAUAGUUCUGAUUCGAUCAUGUUAUCUUUUUUUUUUUCUCUUCGGGAAUUUCUUUGAUCCCGUUUUCUUCUUUUCCUUCUGCUGCUGUUAUACAGUCCUGGAAUCUGAAACAACUUGUGAGAUGGUCGUUUGUUAUUCCUGACACUUGCAUGAAAGAGUAGAUGACAGUAGGCCCCACACUUCGAAAGCC
RNAcentral lists this long non-coding RNA (507 nucleotides) under Gossypium barbadense (sea-island cotton). RNAcentral describes it as "long non-coding RNA (GBAR_LNC017076)". The record is from RNAcentral. Lineage: Eukaryota; Viridiplantae; Streptophyta; Magnoliopsida; Malvales; Malvaceae.